This 536-nucleotide ribosomal RNA is filed under the name Rhodotorula kratochvilovae. Its description in RNAcentral is "eukaryotic LSU rRNA". It matches the Rfam family "Eukaryotic large subunit ribosomal RNA", at positions 104 to 653 of the family's 3401-position model. Lineage: Eukaryota; Fungi; Basidiomycota; Microbotryomycetes; Sporidiobolales; Sporidiobolaceae. The record is from RNAcentral.
GAGCUCAAAUUUAUAAUCUGGCACCUUCGGUGUCCGAGUUGUAAUCUCUAGAAGUGUUUUCCGCGUUGGACCGCACACAAGUCUGUUGGAAUACAGCGGCACAGUGGUGAUACCCCCGUACACGGUGCGGACGCCCAGCGCUUUGUGAUACACUUUCAAUGAGUCGAGUUGUUUGGGAAUGCAGCUCAAAUUGGGUGGUAAAUUCCAUCUAAAGCUAAAUAUUGGCGAGAGACCGAUAGCGAACAAGUACCGUGAGGGAAAGAUGAAAAGCACUUUGGAAAGAGAGUUAACAGUACGUGAAAUUGUUGGAAGGGAAACGCUUGAAGUCAGACUUGCUUGCCGGAGCUUGCUUCGGUUUGCAGGCCAGCAUCAGUUUUCCGGGGUGGAUAAUGGUGGUUUGAAGGUAGCAGCCUCGGCUGUGUUAUAGCUUUCCACUGGAUACAUCCUGGGGGACUGAGGAACGCAGCGUGCUUUUUGCGAAGGUUUCGACCUUUUCACGCUUAGGAUGCUGGUGUAAUGACUUUAAACGACCCGUC